RNAcentral lists this ribosomal RNA (370 nucleotides) under Dendrophryniscus brevipollicatus. RNAcentral's name for it is "partial 16S ribosomal RNA". It matches the Rfam family "Bacterial large subunit ribosomal RNA", at positions 1994 to 2515 of the family's 2925-position model. Lineage: Eukaryota; Metazoa; Chordata; Amphibia; Anura; Bufonidae. The record is from RNAcentral.
GAACGGCACCACGAAGGUUAUACUGUCUCCUUUCCCUAAUCAGUGAAACUAAUCUCCUCGUGAAGAAGCGAGGAUAAAAAUAUAAGACGAGAAGACCCUAUGGAGCUUUAAACAAUGCGACAACUGCUACUAGUCUAUUUAAGGCCCCAGAGUCUCUAAGUUAAUUUAGCACUUUGACGCAAGUUUUAGGUUGGGGUGACCGCGGAGCAUAAUACAACCUCCACGCUGAAAGAAUCCUAUUUUUAGCCAAGAGCUACUACCCCAGGCACCAGCACACUGUCAUCUAUUGACCCAAUACAAUUGAACAACGAACCAAGUUACCCUAGGGAUAACAGCGCAAUCCACUUCAAGAGCCCCUAUCGACAAGUGG